CAAGGCAACCAAAUCGGCCGCAGCUGAGAGAUGGUAGAGCUCUCUUGUGUCGCCAAUAACAAGAGCGCUGAGGCUGCCAGUUCCUCUCUUCUACUGAGGUGUGAUGGUGUGAAAGUUUUUUUGUUAUAGAACAGACUUCUGCUGGAGAGACUUUCUAAUGUGACGGCUCAGUGAAUGGCAUUUUGCAUUCUGAAUCAGCCAUCAUCAACGUUCUAUGCCGUUUUAAUGAAAAUUCAGCUGCCUGGCCCUCUGGUGACCAGUUCAUUUGACUGCCCUCAUCCUCAUUACCUCCUAACAAGGCCUCUGGGAGCAUCUAAGUGUGAGCAGAAUGGUUGGAGUUGGUGAAGCAGUGGAAAUUUUAGCAGUAGCUAUCAUUUUCAUUUUCCAGCUCUUCCGUGUCAACCACCUGUCAAAUUUAGAGACAACUUUUU
Molecule: long non-coding RNA, 431 nt
Organism: Cyprinus carpio (common carp)
Lineage: Eukaryota; Metazoa; Chordata; Actinopteri; Cypriniformes; Cyprinidae
Exons: 4
Source: RefSeq, a predicted model, not a curated record